GACGAACGCUGGCGGCGUGCUUAACACAUGCAAGUCGAGCGGUAAGGCCUUUCGGGGUACACGAGCGGCGAACGGGUGAGUAACACGUGGGUGAUCUGCCCUGCACUUCGGGAUAAGCCUGGGAAACUGGGUCUAAUACCGGAUAUGACCUCCUAUCGCAUGGUGGGUGGUGGAAAGAUUUAUCGGUGCAGGAUGGGCCCGCGGCCUAUCAGCUUGUUGGUGGGGUAAUGGCCUACCAAGGCGACGACGGGUAGCCGACCUGAGAGGGUGACCGGCCACACUGGGACUGAGACACGGCCCAGACUCCUACGGGAGGCAGCAGUGGGGAAUAUUGCACAAUGGGCGAAAGCCUGAUGCAGCGACGCCGCGUGAGGGAUGACGGCCUUCGGGUUGUAAACCUCUUUCAGCGGGGACGAAGCGCAAGUGACGGUACCUGCAGAAGAAGCACCGGCUAACUACGUG
RNAcentral lists this ribosomal RNA (462 nucleotides) under uncultured bacterium. RNAcentral describes it as "partial 16S ribosomal RNA". It matches the Rfam family "Bacterial small subunit ribosomal RNA", at positions 28 to 507 of the family's 1533-position model. The record is from RNAcentral.